CGGGACGGGGUGAGUAAUGUCUGGGAAACUGCCUGAUGGAGGGGGAUAACUACUGGAAACGGUAGCUAAUACCGCAUAACGUCGCAAGACCAAAGAGGGGGACCUUCGGGCUCUUGCCAUCGGAUGUGCCCAGAUGGGAUUAGCUAGUAGGUGGGGUAACGGCUCACCUAGGCGACGAUCCCUAGCUGGUCUGAGAGGAUGACCAGCCACACUGGAACUGAGACACGGUCCAG
This 233-nucleotide ribosomal RNA is filed under the name uncultured bacterium. RNAcentral describes it as "partial 16S ribosomal RNA". It matches the Rfam family "Bacterial small subunit ribosomal RNA", at positions 104 to 334 of the family's 1533-position model. The record is from RNAcentral.